ACUUCUGCUUACCUUUACGUUUAUUUUAAACGUCGUGUUGUGCAUAAACUUUUAAACAGCUUCUUCAUGUUACCAAAUAUCAAUGAAACCAUUUAUUUUACUUUUGAUUUAGGCUACAGUUGUCUGAAUUUGUUCCUGUAGUCUCGCACUCACCUGCUGACUUCGUGCGUACUGCGCCUGAAGACAUCCUGAACUCGCGAGUCUUUUCCCGCUCUUAACUUCAUCCAAACCGACCCGCGUGAAGUAAAUCCCGCUGUUGAUCGACGUGGUCACAAACAGGCAUAGCAGGGAGCAGGAUGUGGACUCAGACAUUUCCUGGACCCUGGGCAGUCUGUCAGUGGAGGAUUACAUUUGGAACUCAUGGCAUGUAGGAAGUGAGAUGUAUCAUCAACAGAAGUAGGGCAAAGGAGGGUGAAAACGAAGGGACUCUAGCUCAUGCAUAUUGAUGAAGAGCAUUGUCUGUGACAAGGUGAUUUUCAGCAUUUUUAGAGACAAACAGAAUAAGCAAGGAGAAGCAGGCAUGAAUCCUUCAAAGAAUAUACUCUCCACUGUGACUUAAUUGGUUUGUUUGGAGGAGAGCACACCCGUAGGGACUGUCUGAGCGAGUCGAUGAACACGAGCAUGAAAGAGAGGAAAGCGAGAGGAUGGAUGGAUGAAAAGAUGGAUGAUAUUCUGGAAGAGCUCUAGGGCUUUUCUGAGAGGAGACACCGCUGUUACAUGAUCUCCAGCAAGCCAGAAGCACGCA
This 745-nucleotide long non-coding RNA is filed under the name Danio rerio (zebrafish). RNAcentral's name for it is "si:dkey-225n3.4 (ENSDARG00000096465.2)". The record is from RNAcentral. Lineage: Eukaryota; Metazoa; Chordata; Actinopteri; Cypriniformes; Danionidae.